GUGCAGCAGUCGCGAAACCUCCGCAAUGCGGGAAACCGCGACGGGGGACCCCGAGUGCCGUGGCAACGCCACGGCUUUUCCGGAGUGUAAAAAGCUCCGGGAAUAAAGGGCUGGGCAAGGCCGGUGGCAGCCGCCGCGGUAAUACCGGCGGCCCGAGUGGUGGCCGCUAUUAUUGGGCCUAAAGCGUCCGUAGCCGGGCCCGUAAGUCCCUGGCGAAAUCCCACGGCUCAACCGUGGGGCUUGCUGGGGAUACUGCGGGUCUUGGGACCGGGAGAGGCGGGGGUACCCCUGGGGUAGGGGUGAAAUCCGUAUAAUCCCAGGGGACCGCCAGUGGCGAAGGCGCCCCGCUGGAACGGGUCCGACGGU
This 366-nucleotide ribosomal RNA is filed under the name uncultured microorganism. Its description in RNAcentral is "bacterial SSU rRNA". It matches the Rfam family "Archaeal small subunit ribosomal RNA", at positions 330 to 698 of the family's 1478-position model. The record is from RNAcentral.